UUUAAUUUAAUAGUAACCUAUGAGUCUUCGAGAGUCACUGUUGCAGGGAAUGAAAAUCUAGACGGAGCAUCUUAAGGCAAGGUCUCAUGUACUCCCCACCCUCCCGGUUUAUGAGAAUUCAUGUGAUGAUGACCUUGAACCGAUGCUCCUCCCUGCCUCUGAGUUCAAGGAUUACAGGAAAUAUUAUCACCACGCCUGGCUACAUAUUCUGAAUUGCAAGUGUCUUUAUAAAUUACAUUAAAUAGGCCUGAAGAGAUGGUUCAGUGGUUGAGAACAUUGGCUGUUCUUCAAGAGGUCCUGAGUUCAAUUCCCAGCAUCCACAUGGUGGCUCAUAACCAUCUGCUAUGGGAUCUGAUUCCCUCUUCUGGUGUGUCUGAAGACAGAGCACUUGUAUACAUAAAACACACACACGAAUAAAUCUUUAAAAAGAAAUUCCAUUAAAUGUAAAAUUAAGCUAGUG
This 460-nucleotide long non-coding RNA is filed under the name Rattus norvegicus (Norway rat). Its description in RNAcentral is "long non-coding RNA NONRATT011293". Lineage: Eukaryota; Metazoa; Chordata; Mammalia; Rodentia; Muridae. The record is from RNAcentral.